This 291-nucleotide ribosomal RNA is filed under the name Clostridioides difficile. RNAcentral describes it as "partial 16S ribosomal RNA". It matches the Rfam family "Bacterial small subunit ribosomal RNA", at positions 1252 to 1533 of the family's 1533-position model. Lineage: Bacteria; Bacillati; Bacillota; Clostridia; Peptostreptococcales; Peptostreptococcaceae. The record is from RNAcentral.
AAGCCGUAAGGCGGAGCUAAUCCCUUAAAGCUACUCUCAGUUCGGAUUGUAGGCUGAAACUCGCCUACAUGAAGCUGGAGUUACUAGUAAUCGCAGAUCAGAAUGCUGCGGUGAAUGCGUUCCCGGGGCUUGUACACACCGCCCGUCACACCACGGGAGUUGGAGACGCCCGAAGCCGAUUAUCUAACCUUUUGGAAGAAGUCGUCGAAGGUGGAAUUAAUAACUGGGGUGAAGUCGUAACAAGGUAGCCGUAUCGGAAGGUGCGGCUGGAUCACCUCCUUUCUAAGGAGA